This 1574-nucleotide ribosomal RNA is filed under the name Bacillus velezensis. RNAcentral's name for it is "partial 23S ribosomal RNA". It matches the Rfam family "Bacterial large subunit ribosomal RNA", at positions 1 to 1568 of the family's 2925-position model. Lineage: Bacteria; Bacillati; Bacillota; Bacilli; Caryophanales; Bacillaceae. The record is from RNAcentral.
CGGUUAAGUUAGAAAGGGCGCACGGUGGAUGCCUUGGCACUAGGAGCCGAUGAAGGACGGGACGAACACCGAUAUGCUUCGGGGAGCUGUAAGCAAGCUUUGAUCCGGAGAUUUCCGAAUGGGGAAACCCACCACUCGUAAUGGAGUGGUAUCCAUAUCUGAAUACAUAGGAUAUGAGAAGGCAGACCCGGGGAACUGAAACAUCUAAGUACCCGGAGGAAGAGAAAGCAAAUGCGAUUCCCUGAGUAGCGGCGAGCGAAACGGGACCAGCCCAAACCAAGAGGCUUGCCUCUUGGGGUUGUAGGACACUCUGUACGGAGUUACAAAGGAACGAGGUAGAUGAAGAGGUCUGGAAAGGCCCGCCAUAGGAGGUAACAGCCCUGUAGUCAAAACUUCGUUCUCUCCUGAGUGGAUCCUGAGUACGGCGGAACACGUGAAAUUCCGUCGGAAUCCGGGAGGACCAUCUCCCAAGGCUAAAUACUCCCUAGUGACCGAUAGUGAACCAGUACCGUGAGGGAAAGGUGAAAAGCACCCCGGAAGGGGAGUGAAAGAGAUCCUGAAACCGUGUGCCUACAAGUAGUCAGAGCCCGUUAACGGGUGAUGGCGUGCCUUUUGUAGAAUGAACCGGCGAGUUACGAUCCCGUGCAAGGUUAAGCAGAAGAUGCGGAGCCGCAGCGAAAGCGAGUCUGAAUAGGGCGAAUUGAGUACGUGGUCGUAGACCCGAAACCAGGUGAUCUACCCAUGUCCAGGGUGAAGUUCAGGUAACACUGAAUGGAGGCCCGAACCCACGCACGUUGAAAAGUGCGGGGAUGAGGUGUGGGUAGGGGUGAAAUGCCAAUCGAACCUGGAGAUAGCUGGUUCUCUCCGAAAUAGCUUUAGGGCUAGCCUCAAGGUAAGAGUCUCGGAGGUAGAGCACUGAUUGGACUAGGGGCCCCUACCGGGUUACCGAAUUCAGUCAAACUCCGAAUGCCGAUGACUUAUCCUUGGGAGUCAGACUGCGAGUGAUAAGAUCCGUAGUCGAAAGGGAAACAGCCCAGACCGCCAGCUAAGGUCCCAAAGUAUACGUUAAGUGGAAAAGGAUGUGGAGUUGCUUAGACAACCAGGAUGUUGGCUUAGAAGCAGCCACCAUUUAAAGAGUGCGUAAUAGCUCACUGGUCGAGUGACUCUGCGCCGAAAAUGUACCGGGGCUAAACGUAUCACCGAAGCUGCGGACUGUUCUUCGAACAGUGGUAGGAGAGCGUUCUAAGGGCUGUGAAGCAAGACCGGAAGGACUUGUGGAGCGCUUAGAAGUGAGAAUGCCGGUAUGAGUAGCGAAAGAGGGGUGAGAAUCCCCUCCACCGAAUGCCUAAGGUUUCCUGAGGAAGGCUCGUCCGCUCAGGGUUAGUCGGGACCUAAGCCGAGGCCGAAAGGCGUAGGCGAUGGAUAACAGGUUGAUAUUCCUGUACCACCUCCUCACCAUUUGAGCAAUGGGGGGACGCAGGAGGAUAGGGUAAGCGCGGUAUUGGAUAUCCGCGUCCAAGCAGUUAGGCUGGGAAAUAGGCAAAUCCGUUUCCCGUGAAGGCUGAGCUGUGAUG